CUGGCUCAGAUUGAACGCUAGCGGGAUGCCUUACACAUGCAAGUCGAACGGCAGCACGGACUUCGGUCUGGUGGCGAGUGGCGAACGGGUGAGUAAUGUAUCGGAACGUGCCCAGUAGCGGGGGAUAACUACGCGAAAGCGUAGCUAAUACCGCAUACGCCCUUAGGGGGAAAGCAGGGGAUCGCAAGACCUUGCACUAUUGGAGCGGCCGAUAUCGGAUUAGCUAGUUGGUGAGGUAAUGGCUCACCAAGGCCGCGAUCCGUAGCUGGUUUGAGAGGACGACCAGCCACACUGGGACUGAGACACGGCCCAGACUCCUACGGGAGGCAGCAGUGGGGAAUUUUGGACAAUGGGGGAAACCCUGAUCCAGCCAUCCCGCGUGUGCGAUGAAGGCCUUCGGGUUGUAAAGCACUUUUGGCAGGAAAGAAACGGCGCGUGCUAAUACCAUGCGCAACUGACGGUACCUGCAGAAUAAGCACCGGCUAACUACGUGCCAGCCGCCGC
RNAcentral lists this ribosomal RNA (504 nucleotides) under uncultured bacterium. RNAcentral's name for it is "bacterial SSU rRNA". It matches the Rfam family "Bacterial small subunit ribosomal RNA", at positions 19 to 518 of the family's 1533-position model. The record is from RNAcentral.